Long non-coding RNA from Misgurnus anguillicaudatus (oriental weatherfish), 1009 nucleotides. RefSeq lists it as uncharacterized. NCBI's taxonomy places the organism in Eukaryota, Metazoa, Chordata, Actinopteri, Cypriniformes, Cobitidae. The record is from RefSeq and is a predicted model, not a curated record.
ACAAGAAUUCUAGGGGGUGGAUUGUAACAAGGUAGCAAGAAAGAAGGGCGGGGGAAUGUGAAAGCGAUCUCUAAUCCCAGUACAGAUUGAUAAUAAGCCGCACUUAUUUAAAGGACAGGCGAAGGCGCAGGGCAGCUGGGGUCCUGUUAGCAUUUGCCUGUUGCUCAGCUUGUGGCCGUGUGGGAUCGGGAGUCCCCGUGUAUCUUUCUAUGUAUGAGACGAAUGUGAUAGUUUGAAGCUCAGGACCAUCGUGUAUAUGAUUUUUGCUCUGCUAAGAAUGUGGGUGUUUGAUGUUCUGGACCGUCAUGUGUCUGGUUGGUUUCGCCCUGUUAAGGUAUGUUUAUUUUUUAGUUUUGUUUAUUUGAAUGUGACUAGCACUCAUGAAAUUAUCUAUUUUGUUAUAGGUUGUUGGAUGAUAGUGACUAGUCGCUGUUCUCUUUAGUUUUUUUGUUAUUUACUUUACUUAUAAAACUGACUGCUCCCAGUUAUGAAUGUUUGUUAAUUCCCUAGCCAGCUUGUGUUUUGUUUUCUUUUGAAUCAUUUAGGUUGAGUUAUUUGGUUUGAUUGCUGGCUAGGGGAUUUUAUUAUUUUCUUUUUUCUUCCUUUUUAUAAGUGUAUUUUUUGGGUUUUCCCCUUAUACCCUUUGGUUAUACCUCUCGGGUAGCUUCCCACCAUUUUAUGUGGGUAAUCCGUGGCAGGGAUAUAUAAGAGCCAUAAUGUAUUUGUGCCUCAUGGUGUGGUAUAUUGAUUUGAUUUGAGUGGGUAUCACUAAUGAUUUAUGGUGGCUUUAUCUGGUUAAGGUUGCUGUGGUUUGAAGUGUGCAGUGUAAUUACUCCUCCCUGUGGUAAUCUCUACUAUUCCUUGCCCGUUGAUGUAUACCCGCUGACGGUGGCUACCCUUGUGGGCUGUUUCCGGUCCGGGUGGAUGACCCAAUUUAUUUUAAUACUUUGUUAAAUAAAGUAUAAUGUAUUUUUCUACUAUUUUAUGCUUGCUGUAGUGACUUUUUGUA